RNAcentral lists this ribosomal RNA (250 nucleotides) under uncultured bacterium. Its description in RNAcentral is "partial 16S ribosomal RNA". It matches the Rfam family "Bacterial small subunit ribosomal RNA", at positions 56 to 334 of the family's 1533-position model. The record is from RNAcentral.
UGCAAGUCGAGCGCACUCUUCGGAGUGAGCGGCGGACGGGUUAGUAACGCGUGGGAAUAUACCCUUUUCUACGGAAUAGCCUCGGGAAACUGAGAGUAAUACCGUAUACGCCCUUCGGGGGAAAGAUUUAUCGGUGAAGGAUUAGCCCGCGUAAGAUUAGAUAGUUGGUGGGGUAAUGGCCUACCAAGUCUACGAUCUUUAGCUGGUUUGAGAGGAUGAUCAGCAACACUGGGACCGAGACACGGCCCAG